Molecule: small nuclear RNA, 135 nt
Organism: Protopterus annectens (West African lungfish)
Lineage: Eukaryota; Metazoa; Chordata; Ceratodontiformes; Protopteridae
Product: U4 spliceosomal RNA
Exons: 1
Source: RefSeq, a predicted model, not a curated record
AGCUUUGCACAGUGGUAGUAUCAUAGCCUAAGACGGUUUACUGAGGAGUGAUUAUUGUUAUUUGAAAACUUUUACCAAUGCCCUGUUAAGUCUGUUUUUGAUGGACAUGACAAUUUUUUACUGUCUCUCUGGAGA